UGUCUGGUGAUGAAAAACAUUCUAAUCAUACUAUACUUCGGGACUGAUGUGUCGCUAUGUGGCUAUGACAUUAUUCUGCAAUUGUGAGGGCA
Molecule: small nucleolar RNA, 92 nt
Organism: Lolium perenne
Lineage: Eukaryota; Viridiplantae; Streptophyta; Magnoliopsida; Poales; Poaceae
Product: small nucleolar RNA SNORD96 family
Source: RefSeq, a predicted model, not a curated record